RNAcentral lists this ribosomal RNA (533 nucleotides) under uncultured beta proteobacterium. Its description in RNAcentral is "bacterial SSU rRNA". It matches the Rfam family "Bacterial small subunit ribosomal RNA", at positions 340 to 865 of the family's 1533-position model. The record is from RNAcentral. Lineage: Bacteria; Pseudomonadati; Pseudomonadota; Betaproteobacteria.
UACGGGAGGCAGCAGUGGGGAAUUUUGGACAAUGGGCGAAAGCCUGAUCCAGCCAUGCCGCGUGCAGGAUGAAGGCCUUCGGGUUGUAAACUGCUUUUGUACGGAACGAAAAGACUUUGGUUAAUACCGGGGGUUCAUGACGGUACCGUAAGAAUAAGCACCGGCUAAUUACGUGCCAGCAGCCGCGGUAAUACGUAGGGUGCAAGCGUUAAUCGGAAUUACUGGGCGUAAAGCGUGCGCAGGCGGUUUUGUAAGACAGAUGUGAAAUCCCCGGGCUCAACCUGGGAACUGCCUUUGUGACUGCAAAGCUAGAGUGCGGCAGAGGGGGAUGGAAUUCCGCGUGUAGCAGUGAAAUGCGUAGAUAUGCGGAGGAACACCGAUGGCGAAGGCAAUCCCCUGGGCCUGCACUGACGCUCAUGCACGAAAGCGUGGGGAGCAAACACGGAUUAGAUACCCUGGUAGUCCACGCCCUAAACGAUGUCAACUGGUUGUUGGGAAUUCACUUUCUCAGUAACGAAGCUAACGCGUGAAGU